UUUUCCCUGCGCUGUUGGUGAUUUGCGGUGUGUGUUGAGCCAACUCUCGUUAAGAGGGCACUACCGCUGACAGAAGAGGGAGAAUCGCUUGCGGAUCUCCCGAGGUUGUCAUGAAGCCUGCCCACCUAAUUUAUUAGGUUUAACUGUCCCGCGGACACGGCAGUGUGGGGAAAUC
RNAcentral lists this non-coding RNA (175 nucleotides) under Desulfobulbaceae bacterium. Its description in RNAcentral is "6S RNA". It matches the Rfam family "6S / SsrS RNA". From Rfam's summary of the family: E. coli 6S RNA was the first non coding RNA to be sequenced, but its function was unknown until recently. It consists of 184 nucleotides that fold into an extended hairpin structure with a large single-stranded internal bulge. The record is from RNAcentral. Lineage: Bacteria; Pseudomonadati; Thermodesulfobacteriota; Desulfobulbia; Desulfobulbales; Desulfobulbaceae.